This 460-nucleotide ribosomal RNA is filed under the name uncultured bacterium. RNAcentral describes it as "partial 16S ribosomal RNA". It matches the Rfam family "Bacterial small subunit ribosomal RNA", at positions 338 to 795 of the family's 1533-position model. The record is from RNAcentral.
CCUACGGGAGGCAGCAGUGAGGAAUAUUGGUCAAUGGACGGAAGUCUGAACCAGCCAUGCCGCGUGCAGGAAGACGGCUCUAUGAGUUGUAAACUGUUUUUGUACAAGGGUAAACCUGAAUAUGUGUAUUCAGCUGCAUGUACUGUACGAAUAAGGAUCGGCUAACUCCGUGCCAGCCGCCGCGGUAAUACGGUGGAUCCAAGCGUUAUCCGGAUUUAUUGUGUGUAAAGGGAGCGUCGGCGGAUUGAUAAGUUAGAGGUGAAAUGUCCGCGCUCAACUCGGGAACUGCCUCUAAAACUGGUGAUCUAGAGAGUAGGAGCGGUAGGCGGAAUGUAUGGUGUAGCGGUGAAAUGCGUAGAGAUCAGACAGAACACCGGUUGCGAAGGCAGCUUACCAAUCUAUAUCUGACGUUGAGGCACGAAAGCGUGGGGAGCAAACAGGAUUAGAUACCCGGGUAGUC